Molecule: RNA transcript, 4348 nt
Organism: Columba livia (rock pigeon)
Lineage: Eukaryota; Metazoa; Chordata; Aves; Columbiformes; Columbidae
Gene: HELB
Gene name: DNA helicase B
Exons: 13
Source: RefSeq, a predicted model, not a curated record
GCGGAGGGAUCCCGCGGGCGGGUGCGGUGCUGUAGUUCCCGGACAUGGCGGGGGCUGGCGGGCAGCGGGGGUUGGCGGCGGAGCUCUGGGGGGUGCUGCUGCCCCCGCGGCUGGCGGCGGCGGGCGAGGAGGAGGAGAGCGAGGAGGAGGCCGAGGAGGAGCCGCACUUGGAGGAGGCCGCACUCCUGGACGAUUCCGGGCCGGAGCUAGAGGCCGCUCUGCCCCCGCGCCGAGCCGUUGUUAUACAAGAAGAGAAUUCCAGAAAGGAGUAUGAAGUAGUUGGACGUUUUCCCUUAGUUGCCCCUUGGUGGAGAGUCAAUGUUAAAGUUAAAAAAAUGGGAUCGAAGUACUUUGUGCAAGGAUAUCCAUCGUAUUUUCUGCGGACUGAUAUAGAAGAAAACAACCGACAAGUCUUUUCACUCUUUCUUAAGCAAUGUGCUGUUCCUGAGUAUUUUAUAGGCAAGUUUUUUACGUGGCUUCCUACGGAGUCUAUGCUGAGUUUUAGAAAUCUUGAAGAAAAACUAAAAGAAUUCCAAGCUUCACAUUUACAGACAGGGCAGAAACAAGGAGAAACCAAGGAUUACGAUAUCUUCUACUAUGUUUUGAAAUCAUUUGCAGGAAAGACAGUGUUGGUAGCUCUGACUUUUCCAAUGAUACUGGAAUUCUUGCCAAUUCUUCUGCCACGCCAUUUUUGCUCUCUGUUGGGUAUGGUGCAAUUGCAAGGAAAGACUGAAGAAGACAAUGGCAUGGAUGGUGAGGAACUAUGUUUUCAAGACCCAAUGUUAACAAAGUUGGAUGAGAUAUUAAAGAAUGAGCCGUGGAAGCUUGGAUUCAGCAGGAUUACUUAUAGGGAACUGAAGCUUUCUUACUGUGAGGCAACGUGGGCCACCUUCUGCCAGUGUGAGCAUCUCCUCUGGAAGAUUCCUGACUUGCAGAAAAAUGCAUUAAUUCUGUAUGAUCAACUCAAGAGAAAGUGUAGAGAAAUGGGACACACUUACGAAGAUCAAGAUGAAUUAGCUCGUUUUGUAUCUAAAGAUAUGUCCAUUGAGCAUGCUUGGCAAUCUCUUGAGUUUUUGAAAGAUCAGAACAUAGUGAUUAGGGAGAAAAAACUGGUGUUUCUGCCUCAUCUUUACAAAUCUGAAAAAGACAUUGCAAUGUAUAUAGGUGACCUUCUGUCAAACAGCUCAUGGCAACUGGAUGUUGAUGUGGGAAAGAUACUUAACAUUUCUGAGACGUCAAGGGAAACAGCAGAUAACAAAAUGAAUGGUACCCAGGAUCAUGAAAUAGAACAUCUGAAGGAAAAUAGUCUGGACAAUCAUAACUCUGAAAAUAAUUUUCCUGAAAAGGAGGUGGAGUGUGCACCUGACACCCAGAGUAAAGCAGAGGUAGACUUGGAUCAGGUAAUGGCUGUGCGAAGGAUUUGUUCCAAUCCUGUCACAAUCAUAAGUGGAAAAGGAGGCUGUGGGAAGAGUACAAUAGUUAGCUGCCUUUUUCGGCACUUAAAGCAGAUGGAAAAGGAAGUGGAAGCAGCUUCUAAGGACUUUGAAGAAGACCUGGAUGCGUCUGAGGAAUGGAAUACCUUUGAUCAUCAUUGCGAGCCAGAGAAUAUGUACACAAAAAAAAUUUUGAAUGUGCUAUUUACUGCACCUACAGGGAGGGCAGCAAGCCUUUUGAGUGAAAAAACUAAGCUUCCUGCAUAUACACUGCAUCAGAUCAUCUACAGUUUUAAAUCAUGGAGGCGGACCGAACAAGUACAGCCAUGGAAGUUUGCUACUGUGACGGUUCUGAUUGUGGAUGAAGGAAGUUUGGUGUCUGUACAUGUUCUCAGUUUAGUUUUAAAACUCUUGUGUGAGCAUGCUCAGCUUGCCAAACUUAUUAUUCUAGGUGACACUAGGCAGCUACCAAGCAUAGACCCAGGAAACAUGUUAGCUGAUAUCUUUGAGGGUCUGAAAUCAAGAGGCUUUUCUGUGGAACUGCGAACUAAUCACAGAGCUGAAUCGCAGCUGAUUGUAGAUAAUGCCUCAAGAAUCUCUCUCCGGAAGCUUCCUGAAUUUGAUGAGGUGCUGAAAGUCUCUAGUUGGAAUGAGGAAUUGACAAUGCCAAGCCCAGAGAAGAAAUUCAUUCUUAUCGCUUUGCCCACUGGCGGCGGUUGUGACGCUUUGCAAACUGCCAUAAAGACUUUACUUAAAAAAGGACCGGGAUUGCAGGAUGCCAAACAAUCGCAGUUCAUUGCUUUCAGAAGGCAAGAUUGCGAUCUAAUAAAUGAACUUUGUUGCCAACACUAUUCAGAUCAUCUAACCAGAGACCAUAAAAAACGACUUUUAUUUCAAAUUGGUGACAAGAUUUCCUGCACACGGAACACAUAUCUCAAGGAUCUCUUGCCAGACCCGGGAUUCAGAAAGGAUCCCAAUCACCAUGAAUGCAACAGUGGAGAAACCACCCUGACUACAGAGGCUGCUGAUGAGGGCAAACGACUGUGCAAUGGAGAUGUAUUUUUCAUAACAGAGGGAAAACUGGCAUAUGGACACAUGCAGAUGUAUAGGCAUCCAUCAGACUGCUGACAGGAGCUACUGCUGAGUGUUCUUCUGAUAUUAUUUCUUUAGGAUGUAGAAAUUGAUAAACAGCGUUUGCUGACCAUCAGCAGCACGUACGGCUCCACAUUCACUGUGCGGUAUAAGGCCCUGAAGAAGCUGUGUCAUAUCAAACACGCAUGGGCCAGAACUAUUCACACGUUUCAGGGUUCUGAGGAAAAAACUGUUGUCUACGUGGUCGGCAAUCCUGGCCGCCAGCACUGGCAGCACGUGUACACAGCCGUGACCAGAGGACGCUGCCGCGUCUACAUUGUAGCGGAAGAGACGCACCUCAGGAGAGCGGUCACCACCAAGAACGUGCCCAGGAAGACUCGCUUACAGAGAUUUUUGAGAGAGGCAAUCGCGGAAACAAGCAACUGUCCCAGCCAAACUUCCUCUCCGCUGACAAAGAGCCAGCAAAAUCAAGAGCUUGAGACGGAGUCUGCUGCUGUGACUCAAGGCGCUCCUGACCCACCUGAACCUCUGGCUGACUUGGUGAAGCAGGAAGGGUCAGCAGUUCUCAAUAAAGGGCUGUUGGGCCAUCUCCAGCAAAGUCCGUGUAAGAGACCGCACAGUCUUGCAGAGAACCCUGAGGAUGCUGUGAAAAAACCUUCUGAAACAGUACAAGAUUCCCCACUUGGGUCUUCCAGACUUAAGAGUCUAACUUUGGGACAGCCAACUGCCAGGAAGCUUUUCAAAAGCUAACAAACAAUUGACUGACUCCAUUACAAAUAUACCUGGUUCGCUCAAGAUCUUUGGAAGUGAGAAGCUGGGUAUGCAGGUGAUUUUCAAAGGCUUUUCUGCAGUUGCACGUUCUAUGAAGAACAGCUUGUUUUAAAGUAAAUCACGUCUAUUUUCAGUGAUCUGUUUUUAGUAAGAGAUUCUUUGAUGUGCUAGUCUUCAAAAGCUGUAUUGAUUGUUUUGUUCCGGUGAAGAAUGCGCUUACAGAUCUUAUAGGAUCUAGAAGCUCCCUUAGAGAACACGUGGGGAGUUCUUGGAUUAAAGACUCCAGCCAUCCAUACCAAGAUGUACAUCUCCUCACGCUACAGCACUGAUGAGAAGCCCUUACUGAUGUGCCAAAAUUUCAGUUUGCUCUUGAGUCAAACAAAUAGUUUACAAAGGAGACUUCACAUUUUUCUAAUGUGGCAGAAUUAUGGGCAUGAAGCUUUGAUGGAUUAUGGAUUUUAAUCUUGUUAUAAAUAGAACGAGAAAGUUGCAAUCAAUCAGUGACACACAGUUUUUUUCCACUUUGUACUUGAAAGAGAUGUGAAACUUGGCAAUGCUGUUCCACCUCAUAGAUGCCAAUAAUGCUCUUUGUAAGAAAAGCAAAAUUCCAAGUUCAAAUCACAUCCCACUUUCACCCACUUUUUUGUGUACUAUGUGACUUGCUGCAUUGUAAUUUCUGCGAUUAAUAAGAUGAAUGUUUGUUCAAACUUCAGACAAAUUGUGCUAAAAUUUGGACAGCUUACUUAUAACAUUUUUAACGUAUAUGGCAGGAACAAGUGUACCACAAAGAUAAACAUGGGAUUUUUGCUAAAACUUUGUAUUUUUCUACAUAUUUUUUCCCAAGUAGAAGAAUACUACCUCAUUUUUAAUGUCUUUAAAUCACUGUUUAUUUCAAUUUAUACAGUUUUUCCAUACAAAUAUUUGCAACAGUCUGAAUUUCAAAAAACAUAACAUAGACGAUAAAUAUCAUGCUAUUAAAGUAUUAAAUUUGUACAAAAAUACUUUACAGUUUAAUACUUAUUUGUUACAAAUAAAAAUACAUAUUUAAGUGA